This 620-nucleotide ribosomal RNA is filed under the name Fructobacillus tropaeoli. RNAcentral describes it as "bacterial SSU rRNA". It matches the Rfam family "Bacterial small subunit ribosomal RNA", at positions 99 to 707 of the family's 1533-position model. Lineage: Bacteria; Bacillati; Bacillota; Bacilli; Lactobacillales; Lactobacillaceae. The record is from RNAcentral.
CGAACGGGUGAGUAACACGUGAAUAACCUACCGAAAAGCAGGGGAUAACAUUUGGAAACAGAUGCUAAUACCGUAUAAAACGUGCUGUCGCAUGACAAAACGUUAAAAGGUCCGUUUGGACCACUUUUUGAUGGAUUCGCGGUGCAUUAGUUAGUUGGUGGGGUAAAGGCUCACCAAGACGAUGAUGCAUAGCCGAGUUGAGAGACUGACCGGCCACAUUGGGACUGAGACACGGCCCAAACUCCUACGGGAGGCUGCAGUAGGGAAUCUUCCACAAUGGGCGCAAGCCUGAUGGAGCAACGCCGCGUGUGUGAUGAAGGCUUUCGGGUCGUAAAGCACUGUUGUAUGGGAAGAACGGUAAGGGUAGGAAAUGAUCUUUACAUGACGGUACCAUACCAGAAAGGGACGGCUAAAUACGUGCCAGCAGCCGCGGUAAUACGUAUGUCCCGAGCGUUAUCCGGAUUUAUUGGGCGUAAAGCGAGCGCAGACGGUUCGAUAAGUCUGAAGUGAAAGCCCACAGCUCAACUGUGGAAGUGCUUUGGAAACUGUCGAACUUGAGUGCAGUAGAGGUAAGUGGAACUCCAUGUGUAGCGGUGGAAUGCGUAGAUAUAUGGAAGAAC